Molecule: ribosomal RNA, 1360 nt
Filed under: Potthastia gaedii
Lineage: Eukaryota; Metazoa; Arthropoda; Insecta; Diptera; Chironomidae
Description: 16S ribosomal RNA
Rfam family: Archaeal large subunit ribosomal RNA (bases 1080-1238)
Source: RNAcentral
UUAAUAUUUAUUUAUUAAUUUUAUUUUGAUUAAAUAAUUUUUAUAAUAAAAAUAAUUUUUAAAAAUAUUUUUUUAGUAUUUUUUAAAGAAAAAAUAAUAUUAAUUAUAGUUUAUUAGUAUUGUAAAAGAAAAUUGAAAUAAUUUGAAAAAUUUUUAUUUUAAAAGAAAAAUUUAUUUUUUGUACCUUGUGUAUCAGGGUUUAUUAAUUAAAAAAUAAUUUUUUAUUUUUCUCGAUUUUAAGAGAUUUAAUUUAAUAUAUUAGUUAAUGUAGCAUAAUUAUUAAUAAUAUUAAAUUAGAAAUGAAACGUUAUUCGUUCUUAAAUAUAUCUAGUUUCUUAAGAAAAAAAUUAAAUUUUAAUAUAAUUAAUCAUUUAUUUAAUUAAAUUUAAAUAAAUGCUUUUUUUAUAUAAAUAUUUUAAGGGAUGAGCUUUAAAAUAAAUUUUUAUAAUAAAAAUAAAUAUUUUUAAAAAUGUAAGCUUAUAAAUAGUUAUCAUUAAAAAUUAUGUUAUAAUUUAUUUUAAAAAUUUAUUAUUUAUUAAUUAUUUAAAUUUUUUAUUAAGAUAUUUGUAUUAAUAAAAAUUACAAAAUAAUUAUGAUAAAAUUAGUAAAUUAAAAAUUUUAAAAAUUUUUUAUAAAUGAAAGGUUUUUUUAAUGAAUUCGGCAAAUUUUUAUACUCACCUGUUUAUCAAAAACAUGUCUUUUUAGAAAUUUAUAAAAAGUCUAACCUGCCCACUGAAAAUUGAAGGGCCGCGGUAUUUUGACCGUGCAAAGGUAGCAUAAUCAUUAGUCUUUUAAUUGAAGGCUUGUAUGAAUGGUUGAAUGAGGUAUAAGCUGUAUCAAAAAAAUUAAAAAUUGAAUUUUAUUUUUUAGUUAAAACGCUAAAAUAAAAUUAAAAGACGAGAAGACCCUAUAAAGCUUUACAUUUUUAUUUUAUUAUUUAUAAAGAAUUAUUUAAAUUUUAUUAUGAAAAAUGUUUUAUUGGGGUGAUAAUAAGAUUUAUAAAACUCUUAAAUUUCAAAAACAUAAAUUAAUGAUUUAUUGAUCCGAAAUUUUCGAUUAAAAAUUUAAGUUACUUUAGGGAUAACAGCGUAAUUUUUUUAGAGAGUUCAUAUCGAUAAAAAAGAUUGCGACCUCGAUGUUGGACUAAGAAUUAUUUUAGGUGUAGAAGUUUAAAUUUUGGGUCUGUUCGACCUUUAAAUUCUUACAUGAUCUGAGUUCAGACCGGCGUGAGCCAGGUUGGUUUCUAUCUUUAAUUAUAUAAAAUAUUUUAGUACGAAAGGACCAAAUAUUUAAAAUAAAUUUUUAAAAUAGAAUAAAAUUAAAUUAAAUAAAAAAUUUAAAAUAAAAUAAAUUAAUUAUA